RNAcentral lists this unclassified non-coding RNA (235 nucleotides) under plant metagenome. RNAcentral's name for it is "partial contains small subunit ribosomal RNA, internal transcribed spacer 1, and 5.8S ribosomal RNA". The record is from RNAcentral.
UCUCCGUUGGUGAACCAGCGGAGGGAUCAUUACCGAAGUUACCUUCAAAACCCACUGUGAACCUUACCUCUUGCCGCGUUGUCUCGGCGGGAGGCGGUGUGCGUCGCGCGCCCUAGCGGGCCGUGCCGCUCCCGUCCCCGCCGGCAGCGCCAAACUCUAAAUGCACAGCGGACUGUACGUUCUGAUUUACAAAAAAAACAAGUUAAAACUUUCAACAACGGAUCUCUUGGUUCUG